UUACGCGACAGCUUAUUUCCCUCUUUCCUUUUCCCUCGUCAUUUUUCACUCUCCCUCCAUUUCAUUUCACAAAACGAAAACCCUAAUUCCAUGCUAAUUCGUGAAUCCCUUUUUUCCCUAUUUCGUGAACCGAUUCGUGAAUCCCUAAUCCGUGAAUCCAUUGAAGAAUCCCUAAUUCCCUAAUUCAAAAUCCCUCGUUAAAGGGUUUCUGAAUCAUCAAAGGUUUUCCAGAACUAUCGGCUUUGUGGAUGCUGGAAUCAACUUUUCUUUGCAAGUUUUCAAGAAUGCUCAUCUUACUUAGUUGAGGCAGUAAGCAGUUGUUGAAUGCAAGUUAAUUUGGAACCGAAGCACUAUAUCAUCCGGGAUUUUGCAAAGACAACUCUUUCUCAAGGUUAGUCAUCCCUAUGUUAAUUUGGAACCAGACUGAACAGUUAGUGUUUGCAAUAGUUA
Long non-coding RNA from Lathyrus oleraceus (garden pea), 450 nucleotides. RefSeq lists it as uncharacterized. The transcript is spliced from 3 exons. The record is from RefSeq and is a predicted model, not a curated record. Lineage: Eukaryota; Viridiplantae; Streptophyta; Magnoliopsida; Fabales; Fabaceae.